GCCGAAGGCAGCCGCAAGCAACGGCGCGGAAUCAUAAUCCGCGUGUCGCAGGUUCGAGUCCUGCCUCCGGCA
This 72-nucleotide transfer RNA is filed under the name Actinomycetes bacterium. RNAcentral describes it as "Actinobacteria bacterium tRNA-Met". It matches the Rfam family "tRNA". Rfam says of the family: Transfer RNA (tRNA) molecules are approximately 80 nucleotides in length. Their secondary structure includes four short double-helical elements and three loops (D, anti-codon, and T loops). Further hydrogen bonds mediate the characteristic L-shaped molecular structure. tRNAs have two regions of fundamental functional importance: the anti-codon, which is responsible for specific mRNA codon recognition, and the 3' end, to which the tRNAs corresponding amino acid is attached (by aminoacyl-tRNA synthetases). tRNAs cope with the degeneracy of the genetic code in two manners: having more than one tRNA (with a specific anti-codon) for a particular amino acid; and 'wobble' base-pairing, i.e. permitting non-standard base-pairing at the 3rd anti-codon position. Lineage: Bacteria; Bacillati; Actinomycetota; Actinomycetes. The record is from RNAcentral. RNAcentral also lists the same sequence under 1 other name.